Molecule: ribosomal RNA, 497 nt
Filed under: uncultured bacterium
Lineage: Bacteria
Description: partial 16S ribosomal RNA
Rfam family: Bacterial small subunit ribosomal RNA
Source: RNAcentral
GAUGAACGCUGGCGGCGUGCCUAAUACAUGCAAGUCGAGCGAACGGACGAGAAGCUUGCUUUUCUGAUGUUAGCGGCGGACGGGUGAGUAACACGUGGAUAACCUACCUAUAAGACUGGGAUAACUUCGGGAAACCGGAGCUAAUACCGGAUAAUAUUUUGAACCGCAUGGUUCAAAAGUGAAAGACGGUCUUGCUGUCACUUAUAGAUGGAUCCGCGCUGCAUUAGCUAGUUGGUAAGGUAACGGCUUACCAAGGCAACGAUGCGUAGCCGACCUGAGAGGGUGAUCGGCGACACUGGAACGGGGACACGGUCAAGACGCCUAAGGGAGGCAGCAGUAGGGAAUCUUCCGCAAUGGGCGAAAGCCUGACGGAGUAGCGGGGCGUGAGUGAUGGAGGUCUUCGGAUCGUAAAACUCUGUUAUUAGGGAAGAACAUAUGUGGAAGUAACUGUGCAGAGCUUGACGGUAACUAAUCAGAAAGCCACGGCUAACUACGUG